GUAUUUUGACUGUGCAAAGGUAGCAUAAUCAUUAGUUUUUUAAUUAAAAGCUUGUAUGAAAGGCUGGACGAGGUAAAAUCUGUCUCUAUUUAAAUUAUAGUAGAAUUUAACUUUUAAGUCAAAAGGCUUAAAUGUUAUUAAAAGACGAGAAGACCCUAUAGAUCUUUAUAGUUUAUUAAAUUAAAUUAAUUUAGAAAUGUUAAUGUUUUAUUUAAUUAAGUUAUUUUAUUGGGGUAAUAAAAAGAUUGAAUUAAUUCUUUUUUAUAAUAAACAUUAAUUUAUGAAUAUUAAUGAUCCAGUUUUACUGAUUAUAAGAUUAAGUUACCUUAGGGAUAACAGCGUAAUUUUUUUAGAGAGUUCAUAUCGAUAAAAAAGUUUGCGACCUCGAUGUUGGAUUAAAGAUUAUUUUAGGUGUAGAAGCUUAAUAAUUUUGGUCUGUUCGACCAUUAAAUCUUUACAUGAUCUGAGUUCAGACCGGCGUAAGCCAGGUCGGUUUCUAUCUUUAAUAAAACAAAAUAUUUUAGUACGAAAGGACCAAAUAUUUGAUAUAUUUAUAUUUAACUCAUUGAAUAUUA
RNAcentral lists this ribosomal RNA (575 nucleotides) under Carabus problematicus. RNAcentral's name for it is "partial large subunit ribosomal RNA". It matches the Rfam family "Bacterial large subunit ribosomal RNA", at positions 1936 to 2743 of the family's 2925-position model. Lineage: Eukaryota; Metazoa; Arthropoda; Insecta; Coleoptera; Carabidae. The record is from RNAcentral.